UCUGUACUUCCUCCAUUUCAUAAUUCUUGUCAAAAUAUUACAUGUAUCUAGACACUUUUUAGGAAUAGAUACAUCCAUUUUUUAGUCAAAUUGGAGACAAGAAUUAUGGAACGGAGGGAGUACAGU
Molecule: non-coding RNA, 126 nt
Organism: Brachypodium distachyon (stiff brome)
Lineage: Eukaryota; Viridiplantae; Streptophyta; Magnoliopsida; Poales; Poaceae
Source: Rfam